RNAcentral lists this ribosomal RNA (709 nucleotides) under uncultured bacterium. RNAcentral describes it as "bacterial SSU rRNA". It matches the Rfam family "Bacterial small subunit ribosomal RNA", at positions 60 to 770 of the family's 1533-position model. The record is from RNAcentral.
AGUCGACGGUGAAGAGGAGCUUGCUCCUUGGAUCAGUGGCGAACGGGUGAGUAACACGUGAGCAAUCUACCCUUGACUCUGGGAUAACUGCGGGAAACUGUAGCUAAUACCGGAUAUUACCUUGGAAGGCAUCUUCUGGGGUGGAAAGAAUUUUGGUCAAGGAUGAGCUCGCGGCCUAUCAGCUAGUUGGUGAGGUAAUGGCUCACCAAGGCGACGACGGGUAGCCGGCCUGAGAGGGUGACCGGCCACACUGGGACUGAGACACGGCCCAGACUCCUACGGGAGGCAGCAGUGGGGAAUAUUGCACAGUGGGCGCAAGCCUGAUGCAGCAACGCCGCGUGAGGGACGACGGCCUUCGGGUUGUAAACCUCUUUUAGUAGGGAAGAAGCGACUGGGUUUUCCUGGGAGUGACGGUACCUGCAGAAAAAGCACCGGCUAACUACGUGCCAGCAGCCGCGGUAAUACGUAGGGUGCAAGCGUUGUCCGGAAUUAUUGGGCGUAAAGAGCUCGUAGGCGGUUUGUCGCGUCUGCUGUGAAAACCCGAGGCUCAACCUCGGGCCUGCAGUGGGUACGGGCAGACUAGAGUGCGGUAGGGGAGAUUGGAAUUCCUGGUGUAGCGGUGGAAUGCGCAGAUAUCAGGAGGAACACCAAUGGCGAAGGCAGAUCUCUGGGCCGUAACUGACGCUGAGGAGCGAAAGCAUGGGGAGCG